GCCGAGCUGGGGGCGCAGAGCGCGGGAGGCGGCGGCGGCGCGGAGCCCAGGUGGCUCCGCUGCCGGAUGGGAGUGCCCCAGUGUGCUGGAUGAAGCUGGCGCAUGCACCAUGUCAUCAUGUGUCUCUAGCCAGCCCAGCAGCAACCGGGCCGCCCCCCAGGAUGAGCUGGGGGGCAGGGGCAGCAGCAGCAGCGAAAGCCAGAAGCCCUGUGAGGCCCUGCGGGGCCUCUCAUCCUUGAGCAUCCACCUGGGCAUGGAGUCCUUCAUUGUGGUCACCGAGUGUGAGCCGGGCUGUGCUGUGGACCUCGGCUUGGCGCGGGACCGGCCCCUGGAGGCCGAUGGCCAAGAGGUCCCCCUUGACACCUCCGGGUCCCAGGCCCGGCCCCACCUCUCCGGUCGCAAGCUGUCUCUGCAAGAGCGGUCCCAGGGUGGGCUGGCAGCCGGUGGCAGCCUGGACAUGAACGGACGCUGCAUCUGCCCGUCCCUGCCCUACUCACCCGUCAGCUCCCCGCAGUCCUCGCCUCGGCUGCCCCGGCGGCCGACAGUGGAGUCUCACCACGUCUCCAUCACGGGAUCUGAUCAAAGGCAUCGAGUACUUGCACUACCAGAAGAUCAUCCACCGUGACAUCAAACCUUCCAACCUCCUGGUCGGAGAAGAUGGGCACAUCAAGAUCGCUGACUUUGGUGUGAGCAAUGAAUUCAAGGGCAGUGACGCGCUCCUCUCCAACACCGUGGGCACGCCCGCCUUCAUGGCGCCCGAGUCGCUCUCCGAGACCCGCAAGAUCUUCUCUGGGAAGGUAAGCUUGGGC
RNAcentral lists this small RNA (809 nucleotides) under Pan troglodytes (chimpanzee). RNAcentral's name for it is "processed transcript". The record is from RNAcentral. Lineage: Eukaryota; Metazoa; Chordata; Mammalia; Primates; Hominidae.